This 254-nucleotide ribosomal RNA is filed under the name uncultured bacterium. RNAcentral's name for it is "partial 16S ribosomal RNA". It matches the Rfam family "Bacterial small subunit ribosomal RNA", at positions 524 to 776 of the family's 1533-position model. The record is from RNAcentral.
UACGUAGGGGCCAAGCGUUGUCCGGAUUUAUUGGGCGUAAAGAGCUCGUAGGCGGUUCGGCAGGUCGAAUGUGAAAUCUCCACGCUCAACGUGGAGGGGUCAUUCGAUACUGCCGUGACUUGAGUACGGUAGGGGAGUGUGGAAUUCCCGGUGUAGCGGUGAAAUGCGUAGAUAUCUGGAGGAACACCGGUGGCGAAGGCGGCAUCCUGGACCGAGAUUGACGCUGAGGCGCGAAAGCCAGGGGAGCAAACGGG